CUUCCAUCUGGAAGAAUCCGGAGACAGGUGCUGCAUGGCUGUCGUCAGCUCGUGUCGUGAGAUGUUGGGUUAAGUCCGCAACGAGCGCAACCCUUGCCUUAGUUGCCAGCAGUUCGGCUGGGCACUCUAAAGGGACUGCCGGUGUUAAACCGGAGGAAGGUGGGGAUGACGUCAAGUCCUCAUGGCCUUUAUGACCAGGGCUACACACGUACUACAAUGGCCGAUACAAAGGGCAGCGACACUGCGAGGUGAAGCCAAUCCCGUAAAAUCGGUCUCAGUCCGGAUUGGAGUCUGCAACUCGACUCCAUGAAGUUGGAAUCGCUAGUAAUCGCGGAUCAGAACGCCGCGGUGAAUACGUUCUCGGGGUUU
RNAcentral lists this ribosomal RNA (369 nucleotides) under uncultured Desulfobulbus sp. Its description in RNAcentral is "bacterial SSU rRNA". It matches the Rfam family "Bacterial small subunit ribosomal RNA", at positions 1014 to 1382 of the family's 1533-position model. The record is from RNAcentral. Lineage: Bacteria; Pseudomonadati; Thermodesulfobacteriota; Desulfobulbia; Desulfobulbales; Desulfobulbaceae.